AACAUGAGAAAACCAAGAAGCGCUCUAGAGAGAGGGGAGGGGAAAAUACGUGCGGGUGGCAAUAAUUUACGAGCAGAAGUUAGUCGAGUAAAAGAACUCGAGCGAGGAUGUUUUAUGUUUUACUUUCAUGCUUAAAUCAAUGUGCUGGGUAGAUAGGUUACGCUGUGGUUUAGGGGGAGAUUACCAUUUUUCUUCGUCUGCCUUUAAAAGGAGAAACGUGAAGACUGGGGUUUGUUUGGGGCUCUUUGUUUUUGUAACCGUCUAGUACAGGCCUGUAUAAAUCGGAAGUUAAUUUUUUGCGUGCAGUGUUUAUUUCCUAGUUGAGUUGUAGUCCUAACGGCACAUUAAAUUACGUUUCCCAUUGGAUGCAGUGGAAUUACUUCCUAAUGAAUCUAUUAAUUAGAUGGUUUUAUACUAAAAGACUAUUUUGCUCACAUAGAUGCUUUUUGUAUCUUUUUAAAAAAGUAACCUUGUUUCCGAAUGCAUAGGAUUGCGCUUUAAUUGUGCAAAGGACUACUGUCUGUCCUAUGAUUUAAGCUUUUUAUAACUGCGUCUACACUUUUAAGAUACCAACAGGACCUCUGCGGUUGGUGAAAUUAGUAUGAAGUGUUGAAAUAUGGCUUCUCCUUAUUUGCUUUGUGCAAUGGAAAACAAUUUCCGUUUUGAGAGAGUGAGGAAAUAACGACUCAGCUUUGUUUAUGUCACAACAAAACUGAUGUCUUUAGGUAUCGCAGGAUUAGGCUUUGUUCUUCUUUUGAGAGACUAGCACAGCUGCCCUCUCUAGAAUCUACUUUGUUUCCCCGUGUUUCUGUCCCAACGGCUUUUUUUUUUAACCUGCGGGCAACUUCAAACAAUUUUGCAUGUUGCUGUUUGCCACCUCCUUCGGUUUCUCUGAAUUUGUUCCAACUCUUCCUCCUCCCGCGCCGUCUGCCUCAUGGAUGCUGGAAAAGGAGAGGUGAAGGAAAAAGAAGAGCCUAUGCUUAGCUUUAAUGCCUCGAAGGAUUACAAGCAGACAAGAAGAAGCGUCCGUCAUGGUUUCUGUUUGGACUAAGGCUUUUCUGUGGAGAGGAGCAGGCAGGACUGAAGAAUUCUUGGCUGUGUACAGGGGAGAACUGAUGGUUCCCAUCCCACCUCCUUAAGAACAGGUGUGGCAGUUGAGACUAUAUGGACUGAACAACAUUACUUCCCAGGGACUUUCUUGAGUAAUUUAACUAAGUAUCUGGAUUUCAUGAACCCAUUUUAUGUUUAGAAUUGGCGGCUUGAAUCAUCUGAACAGAAUUAAUUCUUGGAAGUAACUGCUGAAACAACUGUAUGGAUUUUAUUUUUUCAUGAAAUAAGCUGAAACAUUGUUAUGGUUGAUGGUAAUGUCUGUGUCAAAACUCACCUGGAAUGCAGUCCAGAAAAGAUUCUCUCAGAGGAGGAGUGCACCUCUACUGAGACCCU
Hemicordylus capensis (graceful crag lizard) is the source of this 1443-nucleotide long non-coding RNA. RefSeq lists it as uncharacterized. Lineage: Eukaryota; Metazoa; Chordata; Lepidosauria; Squamata; Cordylidae. The record is from RefSeq and is a predicted model, not a curated record. The transcript has 3 exons.